UCAACCUCCAUGUCCAAAGUCGGAUCUACCUUUUUAAUCUGUAUGUAUAACAAAGACAAAAAUAUCCUAGUAUUCAUCAGAUUUUAUCUAUCUACGAUACAAAAUAAUCAACAUGCCAUUGAAUUUAUAACAGGGGUAAAGUCGGAAAAAACUCCAACAAACUAUACCUGUUGUCCCAGAUUAGUCAGGAAACUUUUUUUGUCCACAUUGGGUCCUUGAACAAGUAUUUUUGUGGCUAUAGAAGAGUCAACAUUUUAAAGUUGACUUAACCGGUAAACCUGCUAUUGCCAACCCAUAAGGACCUAAUAUGAAACAAUGGGCAUAGUUUGUUGGAGUUUUUUCCCUUUACAACUAAUAUUAGGCAGGUGAUGGAACAUGAUAUGAAACUAACCUCCUUCGAUGAUGUGCUUGUAGCAGGUGCAUUUGAUGUCUCUAUUGGCCCAGGGCAAACAACUGUU
RNAcentral lists this long non-coding RNA (458 nucleotides) under Lactuca sativa (garden lettuce). RNAcentral describes it as "long non-coding RNA (LSAT_LNC007102)". The record is from RNAcentral. Lineage: Eukaryota; Viridiplantae; Streptophyta; Magnoliopsida; Asterales; Asteraceae.